ACCCAAAUAACGGGGCUCUCUGAACUCCAAACCUGAAAGGAGGUGAUGGUAGGCUACGGCUGCUGGUUCAUGCGAAUGCCCCCGGAUGCGCCUCAAUUUCAGCAAUGGCGCAGUCUGAGGGUUUGCAUGAGCUUGGAGACGUUGCUACCUUGAUCUUUUUGGCAUUGGAGUGAAGGGAGCUCCGUUUUUGCUUUUC
RNAcentral lists this microRNA precursor (196 nucleotides) under Corchorus olitorius. Its description in RNAcentral is "MIR159 microRNA precursor family". It matches the Rfam family "MIR159 microRNA precursor family". The record is from Rfam by way of RNAcentral. Lineage: Eukaryota; Viridiplantae; Streptophyta; Magnoliopsida; Malvales; Malvaceae.